UUGUGCCUACGGGAGGCAGCAGUGGGGAAUAUUGGACAAUGGGGGGAACCCUGAUCCAGCGACGCCGCGUGAGUGAAGAAGUAUUUCGGUAUGUAAAGCUCUCUCAGCAGGGAAGAAAGAAAUGACGGUACCUGACUAAGAAGCCCCGGCUAACUACGUGCCAGCAGCCGCGGUAAUACGUAGGGGGCAAGCGUUAUCCGGAUUUACUGGGUGUAAAGGGAGCGUAGACGGCUAUGCAAGUCUGGAGUGAAAGGCGGGGGCCCAACCCCCGGACUGCUCUGGAAACUGUAGAACUAGAGUGCAGG
RNAcentral lists this ribosomal RNA (305 nucleotides) under uncultured bacterium. Its description in RNAcentral is "bacterial SSU rRNA". It matches the Rfam family "Bacterial small subunit ribosomal RNA", at positions 333 to 652 of the family's 1533-position model. The record is from RNAcentral.